AAAAACAUUUCUUAUAAAAUUUUUAUAAGUAUAAUCUGCUCAAUGAAUUUUAAAUAGCCGCAGAUUUUACUGUGUUAAGGUAGCAUAAUCACUUACCUUUUAAUUAAAGGUUUGUAUGAAAGAUUAAACAAUUAAAUUUCUUUUUUAUUAAUUCUCAUUAAAACUAAAUUAAAAAUAAAAAUGUUUUUAUACAAAAAAUAGACGAUAAGACCCUAUUGAACUUUACUUCAGUUUAGCUGGGGAAGCUCAUUAAAUAUAAUUUUAAUAUUUAUAACAUAAAUUUCUAACAUAAUUAAAUCAAAUAAGUUACCAUAGGGAUAACAGCAUAAUAUAAUUUUAAAGCUCAUAUUAAAAAUUAUGAUUGUGACCUCGAUGUUGAAUU
Molecule: ribosomal RNA, 382 nt
Filed under: Hylyphantes sp. 'irellus'
Lineage: Eukaryota; Metazoa; Arthropoda; Arachnida; Araneae; Linyphiidae
Description: partial 16S ribosomal RNA
Rfam family: Bacterial large subunit ribosomal RNA
Source: RNAcentral